GAUGAACGCUAGCGGCAGGCCUAAUACAUGCAAGUCGAACGGUGUCUUCGGACAUAGUGGCGCACGGGUGCGUAACACGUAUGCAACCUACCUUACAUUGGGGGAUAGCCUUUCGAAAGGGAGAUUAAUACCGCAUAAGACAGUAGCUGGGCAUCCAGCAGCUGUUAAAGAUUUAUCGAUGUAAGCUGGGCAUGCGUCCAAUUAGCUGGUUGGUGAGGUAACGGCUCACCAAGGCAAUGAUUGGUAGGGGAACUGAGAGGUCAAUCCCCCACCCUGGCACUGGGAUACGGGCCAGACUCCUACGGUAGGCAGCAGUAGGGAAUAUCAGGCAAUGGACGCAAGUCUGACCCAGCCAUGCCGCGUGCUGGAUGAAGGCGUUAUGCGUUGUAAACUGCUUUUAUACAGGAAGAAACGACUCUUGCGAGAGGCAUUGACGGUACUGUAUGAAUAAGCACCGGCUAACUCCGUGCCAGCCGCCGCCGUAA
This 485-nucleotide ribosomal RNA is filed under the name uncultured bacterium. RNAcentral describes it as "partial 16S ribosomal RNA". It matches the Rfam family "Bacterial small subunit ribosomal RNA", at positions 28 to 523 of the family's 1533-position model. The record is from RNAcentral.